CCCGUACUCCAGGCACACGACUCGGUGUGGGGAGAAGGCUCCAUGAUGGAAACCACUGCUCAUUCCAAAGGAUCCAUGCAGUUUGGGCUUGGUGCCGUGGCCGCGUGCGGCGGAAAGGAGGUUUCUACAGGAUCGUUGAUUUCAGUCUGAAAGGAACCAUCUUCAACUGCUGUUGCUCAUGGAAGGAGGACUCCAGGUGUCCCACAGACUGCACACCAGAAAAUGUAAGUGAACAGAACAAAACCACACGUGUCAACUGGGUUUCACUCAUUCUGAUAGGUGUCAUACCGCCAAAUGCACUGCGUGACAGAGUGCUGCCUUUCUGACCCUUGGUGUAAUGCUCAUUAGAAGAAAUAGCCUUGGAAUUACUUUCUUUAAAGAAAAGCAGAAGCUGAAAAGUAACCAGGUAAAAACUGCAGGUAAUGUGUGGGACAGUAUUUCCAUCAACUGAGGUGUUAGUGUUUCUGUGCUGUGUGGCUUGCACUCGUGCUGGCAAGGCAAGGGAAAGCAGGCCAAAUGUGCACCCAGCCAUAAGUCUUCUGUUCCUCUGACAACCAAAUGAUUCAAGCAUCUGUACAACCAGCUGAUGAAGAACAAAUAAAAUGGAACUUCAAGUGUGCAAUUUUUCGGUUUGCUCAUAAUCAAAAACAGAAAAAAAGACAAAUUAAGCAACUUGAAUUUUCAAUAGGGCAUUCAUAGAGCCAAGCACUGAAAGAAAUCAUCACAACUUAGUUCUGCUUCCAGGAGAAAUACCUGGCUUCUUCAAACUGCUAGGUGUGGAACUUCUGUGAAAAUGAGAUAAUUGGAGCUGAGGAAUCUUUUGUGUGCAGAGUUGCAUAAAUUUAGUAUAGACAAACUAUUACCGUGACAAUGGUGGUAGCAGUGAGUAAUGUUAACCAGCUGACUUUGUAAUCAAGCUGUCUAUAAGCAGUGGAACAAAUCUUUGGUGGGUGACUGCAUCAACUAAUCGUGAACAGUGGAGGGUGAUGAGCUUUAGCAGUUUUAGAUGGAGUAGUUUGAGGUGUUAUUUGCUCAUAGAGUAAGGUGUGAUUAAAGUUGGCGAAUUAACCUUACAAAAGGCUUCACUGACAUUUUACCCAUAGCUUAUUUUUAUUUGACUCAAGAGGAACCACCCAGUUAAGUCAUCUGUUUAAACUGAAUGUGUCCACCUUAGGGGUUUGCCCAGGUUUAACUAAAACUCUUGAGAUAAAAGGGCAGCAAGUUCUGUAUAGGGAAAACAUUCCUUUUACUGUAGUCUUGGCUGUUCUUAAAAUGUAACUUCUCUUGUGCUUCCUAAACUAAUUGAAACAUGAAGGCAGGACAGGGAGCCAGCUCUGAGGAGCUAAAACAUUUCUUUAUCCAAACUGUUGAGUCAAUUGGUCCUUUCCUUAUUCAUGCUGGGGCAGCUGGAAGAAUCCCUGAAGCUUUUUCCAAAUGCCAAUCUGUAACAUAAGCUAGGGAAGGGUAGACUUUCAAUGCUGCAGCUGCUGCCUGACCCUGGCUUGCUUAGUUAGUGACCUCAGCAAUAUUCACGGUCUCCACAGGCCUAGAGAAGGAAGCCUGUGGUGAGCUGCCAUGUGGUCUGGUUUGUCGGCCUCAUGUGCAGGUUCCAGGCCACUGAGGUACCUGGAAAUCAUCACACUGUGCACGUCAAAUGGCUCUUAGGUUCCCACUUGCAUGUAUCAGUGAUCUUCCCGUUGUGUGUGCUGACUCUUUGAAACUGCAGGGUUAAGUGUUUCUUUGCUUAUAAGAAACAAAGCUGACUUUCAUACUGCUUUUUGUAGGUAAUUCCCUUCCAUGCUUAUUGCUACUGUCUCCUUAGAGCUGGUGUUGCUUCGUAUUGAAGACAAAAAUUAAUCUUUGUGUAGUAAAAGCUGUGUGCAACUUGCAUAGCACCUUUUAGCCGAGGACUUUGGGAAACAUUGAAAGCAUUAAACUCCUGUUAUAAACACUA
Molecule: long non-coding RNA, 1954 nt
Organism: Neopsephotus bourkii (Bourke's parrot)
Lineage: Eukaryota; Metazoa; Chordata; Aves; Psittaciformes; Psittacidae
Exons: 2
Source: RefSeq, a predicted model, not a curated record